RNAcentral lists this long non-coding RNA (653 nucleotides) under Numida meleagris (helmeted guineafowl). RNAcentral's name for it is "lncRNA (ENSNMEG00000000090.1)". The record is from RNAcentral. Lineage: Eukaryota; Metazoa; Chordata; Aves; Galliformes; Numididae.
UAGCCAUUGAAAACCCCUUUGUUGGUUAUGAUGGGUUACUCUGUUUUUUUCCCAACACACUUAUAAUCUUUAGAUUUCUACGUUGUUUUUAUCCAAACAUUUCUCUAGAACAACUUCUCACUGAAUGACUUCUGAGUGAAACCAACAGCUCUGUGGUUACAUUUCCUUACUCUUCUAGCAAAGUAAAUCUGGAUUAACUCCCCAGAAUUUGCUGAAAUUGUUAUUUCUUUAGGAAGGAGUGGGAAUUGAAAAUCCACGUAGUCACUGUAGUAUAUAGUAUAUUGCUCCGUGAUCCACUUUCCUUUGGCAUCAGUGCAUGAUGCUCAUUACAUGUUUUGAAUAUUGCAGCUGAAAUUGAAUGAAUUAUAAUUGACACAUUCAGGCUAGAGGUGCUAGCUAGCUUGCUUGCUUGCUACUUUUAUUAACCAGUUUUUCCCUGUUUUUUUCUCUUUCUAAGGAGAAGAUUGAUACUUCCUUCAAGAAAACAUUAUGAACCCAGUCCAGUCUUUUUGCACUGAAUUAUGUAUGGAGUCACCACAAUUGCAAGUAUCAGUCAAUGCCUACACAGAAAUGCAAGGCUAGACAAGUAAUGGCUUUAGACUCCCUCGCAGUGAAUGUGGCGAGAGACCAGGGAAGCAGACACGCUACUAACA